CCUACGGGUGGCAGCAGUGGGGAAUAUUGGACAAUGGGGGCAACCCUGAUCCAGCCAUGCCGCGUGUGUGAAGAAGGCCCUCGGGUUGUAAAGCACUUUCAGUGAGGAAGAACGCCUGGUGGUUAAUACCCAUCAGGAAAGACAUCACUCACAGAAGAAGCACCGGCUAACUCCGUGCCAGCAGCCGCGGUAAUACGGAGGGUGCGAGCGUUAAUCGGAAUUACUGGGCGUAAAGCGCGCGUAGGUGGCUUGAUAAGCCGGUUGUGAAAGCCCCGGGCUCAACCUGGGAACGGCAUCCGGAACUGUCAAGCUAGAGUGCAGGAGAGGAAGGUAGAAUUCCCGGUGUAGCGGUGAAAUGCGUAGAGAUAGGGAGGAAUACCAGUGGCGAAGGCGGCCUUCUGGACUGACACUGACACUGAGGUGCGAAAGCGUGGGUAGCAAACAGGAUUAGAUACCCCAGUAGUC
Molecule: ribosomal RNA, 465 nt
Filed under: Vreelandella stevensii
Lineage: Bacteria; Pseudomonadati; Pseudomonadota; Gammaproteobacteria; Oceanospirillales; Halomonadaceae
Description: partial 16S ribosomal RNA
Rfam family: Bacterial small subunit ribosomal RNA
Source: RNAcentral